Long non-coding RNA from Astyanax mexicanus (Mexican tetra), 283 nucleotides. RefSeq lists it as uncharacterized. The record is from RefSeq and is a predicted model, not a curated record. NCBI's taxonomy places the organism in Eukaryota, Metazoa, Chordata, Actinopteri, Characiformes, Acestrorhamphidae. The transcript is spliced from 3 exons.
AGCCGGUUGUUGGGAUCCUCGUUAAUGACAGCGUUGCAGCGGAUCUGCUUGGCUCUGUCCGCGUACCUGUUUCAGAGAUGACACCAGAUUUAUCACCAAUCCAGCAUUUAUAGAGCAGCUUGGAUGGCAGCUUCUGUUUCAAUCUACAAGUGUAGAGCUACAGGAUCUACAGACCCAUCUGUAGCAACAUCCGUAGAAAUGGAACAACCCAUCCAUCUGCACCCACUAUCAGACCUCACUACAACUCCCAUAAUCCACCUGGUUUCACUGUGUCCUAAAUUAC